GAUGAACGCUGGCGGCGUGCCUAACACAUGCAAGUCGAACGAAGCACUCUAUUUGAUUUCCUUCGGGACUGAUUAUUUUGUGACUGAGUGGCGGACGGGUGAGUAACGCGUGGGUAACCUGCCUUGUACCGGGGGAUAAUAGUCGGAAACGGCUGCUAAUACCGCAUAAGCGCCCGGCGUUGCAUGAUGCAGUGUGUAAAACUCCGGCGGUAUAAGAUGGACCCGCGUUGGAUUAGCUAGUUGGUGAGGUAACGGCCCACCAAGGCGACGAUCCAUAGCCGACCUGAGAGGAUGACCGGCCACAUUGGGACUGAGACACGGCCCAAACUCCUACGGGAGGCAGCAGUGGGGAAUAUUGCACAAUGGGCGAAAGCCUGAUGCAGCGACGCCGCGUGAGCGAAGAAGUAUUUCGGGAUGUAAAGCUCUAUCAGCAGGGAAGAUAAUGACGGUACCGGACGAAGAAGCACCGGCUAAAUACGUG
RNAcentral lists this ribosomal RNA (481 nucleotides) under uncultured bacterium. RNAcentral describes it as "partial 16S ribosomal RNA". It matches the Rfam family "Bacterial small subunit ribosomal RNA", at positions 28 to 507 of the family's 1533-position model. The record is from RNAcentral.